UGUGCCACUUGGAAGAAUACUAUUCAAAGUAAUAAAUAAAUGAAAGAAGGGCAUGAUAAAUAGCUUAAAAUCAGUCACUAUUCAUCACCUUCCAUCCUCAAAAAAUUUCGUGCACCACCAUAGGGUGAAGAAGUAGCUCCUUUCUUCCAUAUUAUCUUCAUUUUACGGUGAAUCGAAGAGCUAAAUGCACCAACGGGGGAUUAUCAAGGUUAGUCGGCAUUGGGGAGUAUCGGUCGAUGUUUAUUCAAGUCUGCGUCAGUGCUGCAUCCUCGUCGGGUCACUGAACGUUAUCUAUGGUAUAUAGUGGUGGCAUGUUUAGAAAUCAGAUUAUGAUAUUCUAAAAUCAGUUGCGUUGUAGUUUAAUGUUGAUAAAUUAAUUUUCGAGGAAAUAUAAACUUAUAUGCUUUUGUAUGUAA
Molecule: long non-coding RNA, 416 nt
Organism: Salvia splendens (bonfire salvia)
Lineage: Eukaryota; Viridiplantae; Streptophyta; Magnoliopsida; Lamiales; Lamiaceae
Exons: 2
Source: RefSeq, a predicted model, not a curated record